AGCAGCCGCGGUAAUUCCAGCUCCAAUAGCGUAUAUUAAAGUUGUUGCAGUUAAAAAGCUCGUAGUUGAAUUUCGGAAUCUGUCCAUUGGUCGGGCUUCACUGUCCGUACUGGUGUGGUGGGUUCUUACCUUCUGAAUAACCAGCAUGCCAUUUAUUUGGUGCGUUGGGGAAGCAGGACUAUUACCUUGAAAAAUUAGAGUGCUCAAAGCAGGCUAGUGCCUGAAUACAUUAGCAUGGAAUAAUAAAAUAGGACGGCAUGGUUCUAUUUUGUUGGUUUCUAGGAUCACCGUAAUGAUUAAUAGGGAUAGUUGGGGGCAUUAGUAUUCAAUUGUCAGAGGUGAAAUUCUUGGAUUUAUUGAAGACUAACUUCUGCGAAAGCAUUUGCCAAGGAUGUUUUCAU
This 401-nucleotide ribosomal RNA is filed under the name uncultured Acaulospora. Its description in RNAcentral is "SSU rRNA". It matches the Rfam family "Eukaryotic small subunit ribosomal RNA", at positions 569 to 973 of the family's 1831-position model. The record is from RNAcentral. Lineage: Eukaryota; Fungi; Glomeromycota; Glomeromycetes; Diversisporales; Acaulosporaceae.